This 833-nucleotide long non-coding RNA is filed under the name Cyanistes caeruleus (blue tit). Its description in RNAcentral is "lncRNA (ENSCCEG00000008698.1)". Lineage: Eukaryota; Metazoa; Chordata; Aves; Passeriformes; Paridae. The record is from RNAcentral.
AUUCAGCAUGCUAUGUUAGCAAAUACCACACCAGCAAGUUAACAGCUAUUUUUUCUUGCUUGUUGGCUGAAGAGUUACACUGACAGUGAAUCCAGCAUAGCUGGGGAAGGAGGGACAAGUGCUCCCUGAGCUCUGAGCUUAGAUGGAAGCUCAGAGAGCUUCAAAUCCACAUGUUAAUGAACUAUGGGAACGCAGUUUUGCUCAGGGCGCACAUCAUAACAACCAUUGCUGAAGUGGGACACCAGGGAAUCACACACAGAACUGCUGGCAGAUGCUUCUGGUGAGAUUUAUUCAGCAACUCUCCCAUCUUCUGGUAUAGCAUUGCUAGUGCUGGCCUUGGAUGAUCCUUGCCCAUCACAGCCAAGGAAACACCUAGCAACAGUAACACAAGUGGCUGCAUUUCCUGAUUCUGGAUUAAGUUCAAGAUUUCAAAUACGACUGGGCUCGUUUCUGAUUAGAAAGUUUGAUAUUUAUCACAGACUUACCUGUCUUCCAUAUCCAGUGUGAGUGAGAUUGUAAAAAGGCUCACAAAGUCUAAGAGAAGUAAAAUAAUGCCACUUGUGAUCUUGGAAGGGCAACAGCCUGGACGGGCAUGGGAUACAGUGGCAAGGCACGCAGCAAGAGCUGGAUUGUAUUCUCUGCUGUGGGGGACAUGGAGAUGGCUGGGAGUGGAAUAAGGGGUCUCUAGGUCCCACCUUGCAUCCUGCAUCAGAGCAACAGCACCAGUGGAGAUACUCCCACAGCUUUAAACAGCCCACUUAGUUGUGCCAGAUAAGCACAACACAGAGCAGCAAGAGUAUCUAUCGUGAUAAAUAAAGAUGGACCAGGAUACA